This is a non-coding RNA of Bacillus sp. FJAT-27231, 104 nucleotides long. The record is from Rfam. NCBI's taxonomy places the organism in Bacteria, Bacillati, Bacillota, Bacilli, Caryophanales, Bacillaceae.
UUCUUAUCAAGAGAAGCGGAGGGACUGGCCCGAUGAUGCUUCAGCAACCGGCUGCGUAAAGUCAAGGUGCUAAUUCCAGCGGGAUCCAUCCCGAAAGAUGAGAG